RNAcentral lists this ribosomal RNA (423 nucleotides) under uncultured Gammaproteobacteria bacterium. RNAcentral describes it as "bacterial SSU rRNA". It matches the Rfam family "Bacterial small subunit ribosomal RNA", at positions 9 to 429 of the family's 1533-position model. The record is from RNAcentral. Lineage: Bacteria; Pseudomonadati; Pseudomonadota; Gammaproteobacteria.
GAGUUUGAUCGUGGCUCAGAGUGAACGCUGGCGGCAGGCCUAACACAUGCAAGUCGAACGGCAGCACAGUCGUAGCAAUACGAUGGGUGGCGAGUGGCGGACGGGUGAGGAAUACAUCGGAAUCUACCUUGUCGUGGGGGAUAACGUAGGGAAACUUACGCUAAUACCGCAUACGAACUACGGUUGAAAGCGGCGGACCGCAAGGCGUCGCGCGAUUGGAUGAGCCGAUGUCCGAUUAGCUAGUUGGCGGGGUAAAGGCCCACCAAGGCGACGAUCGGUAGCUGGUCUGAGAGGAUGAUCAGCCACACUGGAACUGAGACACGGUCCAGACUCCUACGGGAGGCAGCAGUGGGGAAUAUUGGACAAUGGGCGCAAGCCUGAUCCAGCCAUGCCGCGUGUGUGAAGAAGGCCUUCGGUUGUAAG